Molecule: ribosomal RNA, 452 nt
Filed under: uncultured bacterium
Lineage: Bacteria
Description: bacterial SSU rRNA
Rfam family: Bacterial small subunit ribosomal RNA
Source: RNAcentral
ACUCCUACGGGAGGCAGCAGUGGGGAAUCUUGGACAAUGGGGGCAACCCUGAUCCAGCCAUGCCGCGUGAGUGAUGAAGGCCUUAGGGUCGUAAAGCUCUUUCGCCAGGGAUGAUAAUGACAGUACCUGGUAAAGAAACCCCGGCUAACUCCGUGCCAGCAGCCGCGGUAAUACGGAGGGGUUAGCGUUGUUCGGAAUUACUGGGGCGUAAAGCGCGCGUAGGCGGACCAGAAAGUUGGGGGUGAAAUCCCCGGGGGCUCAACCCCGGAACUGCCUCCAAAACUCCUGGUCUAGAGUUCGAGAGAGGUGAGUGGAAUUCCGAGUGUAGAGGUGAAAUUCGUAGAUAUUCGGAGGAACACCAGUGGCGAAGGCGGCUCACUGGCUCGAUACUGACGCUGAGGUGCGAAAAGUGUGGGGGAGCAAACAGGAUUAGAUACCCUGGUAGGAUAGCG